Neopelma chrysocephalum (saffron-crested tyrant-manakin) is the source of this 7222-nucleotide long non-coding RNA. RefSeq lists it as uncharacterized. Lineage: Eukaryota; Metazoa; Chordata; Aves; Passeriformes; Pipridae. The record is from RefSeq and is a predicted model, not a curated record. The transcript has 5 exons.
ACCCAGAAGCAUCUUUCAAUGCGGUCCUCCCUGUUUUCCAUCUGUGUUGCAUGUUACUCUUUGGGGUUCCUCGUUUUCUUUUGGGAGAAGAAGGUGUCUGUGUUGAACCCGGAGCGCAUCCCGGUCCGUAGUGUGAUGCCAUUCCCAGCCAGCCAGCCCCGCGCCCUCGGUGGAGAUGACGGCAGUGUUUGAAGGCGAUGUUUUUCCCUGGGACUGCGUGGCUGGCGAGAUGGUAACGCCGAGGCGGGGAGCAGCUUCACAGCUCGCUGCCCUCACCGCAGCCACCGCCUGAGCAGCGCUGUGCCACAGCCGUGCCACAGCCAGGCGUUCUCCCGUGCCCGUGCCUCGCUGCCCGGCGUGGGGAGCGGCACUCCCGCUCCCGGGGGCUCCUCGGGGACACACCGCCUGCCGGCUUCCCUGCGCCAUCCUCCGGGGCGGCCUGUCCCCCCGUGCACGUGCCUGGGAAAGUGCCAAGAUCACAGUCAAAAGGGUCACCAAUGAAGAUUUGUUCAUGCAGCUAAGCAAACUGUUCAUGGAGAAAGCUCUAAACGAAACAGGGAAUGAAUACCAUGUAACCAGACAGCCAUAAAUCUUCUGCUGCAGACCACUGAUAGGAGUCUGUAGACCACCAGUUUGGGAAACAUCUGCUUUACACUUCUAAAUGGUUCAAGAUUUGUUCCCUCUGAUGACACCACAAAUCUGGGAAUGAAGAACUUCUUAGAGCUGAUUGGAAAUGGCAUUACGGAGCUGAAACUUAACUGGAGGAAAUAUAUCUCCUGAAGAAGAAAAUAUAAUGCACUAUAAGGAUCUGACUUCUGGUGAAAAAUUCAAGCCUAGAGAAAACUUGUCCGCUUUGUUAGGAAGAAUGGGUUGGACAAUUUUCUUCAGUUCCAAAGGAUAUCUGAAUGCCAUGCUGAGCUUAAUCUCUGCAGCAUGCUCUGUGCUUCUCAUCUCUUCCUGAUGCACUGCAUGGUUAUCCUGAAGGGGACGAUAAAGAAACUGGCCACCAAGAUGGUAAUCACUAGUGGAAAUGAAGAAGAUAAAGGCAGUCAAGAAAAGGAAAGCAAAGAAGAAACCAUCUUGGCAAUGCUUGGAAUUAUUGGGACAAUUCUGAACCUCAUUGUGAUCAUUUUUGUGUAUAUUUACACAACGUUGUAAACUAGAAGGCAUGCAAAUAGACCAGAUAAAAUGGCCAUUAAGAGUGACAACAAACAUUGCUGACUAUUGACAAGUUCUUUAAUCAGAAUUGACUCUGUAUUAUAUUAACACAUCAUAAAAGCACUGCCUGCAGGCAGCGAAGACUGAAGCACAAUUAAUUUAACAAGACUUUUUCACACAGUAAUAAGCUUAACUCUUCUGUCCUGCCCUCUCCCUUUUGGUUUGGUUUUCAGUUUGGGGGAGAAUGACUGCAGUUAUGUAAGUUGUAGCUUUGAAGAAAUCCACCAGGGAUAUGUUGUUUUAACACAAUUAAAAAAAAAAAAGAAAGAAAGAAAAAAAAGAAAAGAAAGAAACUGUACACUAUAUAUAAUUAGAAAUGUAUGCUGUAUACCCGCAAAGAUUGAACUCAAAGAUAGCUUCAUAGCACAGAUCACGUGUCUGUUAGGUCAAAUGAUGUUUUUCUCUUGGUUUUUGCUUUUACUUACAUUGAAUCUGACAAGCCUUUUAUUUAGAAUGAACAUAUGGUGCAAUCAUGAAAAAAACAAUUCCAUUGAGCAAGGUCUGCCUAAACCUGAUAAAAUGUUGGGAGAAAUACAUUACAUGGUUAUUUUUCCUUUCUUGUUUGCUUAACAUCUGUGUCUGUUCAUACCAAUGUUUAUAUAUAUAUAUUUUUAAUAAAUGUGCUAUAUUUUUAGCAUGAACCAAACAUUUGGAGACACUUGUAUUCAUGCAGCUAAAUUUUGUUUGAUGAAGUGCCCGUUUUGACAAUGGAUGUUAUUUUUCUCAGCAAUUAUACAGCAGUCUUGUUUGCAGCCCUCUCACUGUGGUCUGAAGCAAGCUCACAUCAUGCUCAUAUGCAUGACUUGAAGUUGGAAUGUCAGCUGAAAAGCAUUGCUGCUUAAUACGGGAAAUAGCACAACAUUGUAAGGUGACCUUUGGAGACUGGUUGCAGAAAGAAGGCUCUACUCAAAAAAAGAAAAAGCAAAUGAAAGGAAUAUUGAGGAGUCUCACAAAAUAUUACAAAAUUCAUAGAAUUUAUGGUUUUCAAAAUCUGGUCACGUUCUCUAAGUACUUAUGCUGAGAGAAGCCAGUAGAGGUUUCUACAGCUGAAAAGAGAAAUUUAGAGAGCCUAUAGUAAGGGGUUGAAGGGAAAUCCAGACUGUAAAUACAGAGUUGUAUUUUAAAUGUGAGGAUCAUUAACUCUUUGCUUUUCUGCCAUGUGCUUUAACUGAGGUUGGUGCAGUGAAAUUCUCUGACUUGUGUUUUUGACAGGAAUGUACAAUGAUGAUGCUCAACAUUUUUCUUCAGAGUUCAGUGCUUAUAAAUAUACAAAGCAUUAAAAUUAUGAGACCUCAAUUCUGCCUCAAGCUGCCUAAGUACAUUGCCCAUUAACUCUGACAUAUCUUCUUAAAAAAAUAGGUCAAUUAAUUGUUUACUGACUUGUAGUUUGGAUUGCAUCCUCAGAUGCACAAGGAGGAUUAGAGUUGAAGUCAGCUGGAGCUGUAAAAUGUUUGAUCCUAGAGUCUCAUCGAUUUUAGUGAUCAGUCAUGUCCCUCUGGAAUCAGUAAUAAGUUCUCCACCAGUUUCAAGGGGCUAGGAAUGGUCUCAAAAAUACAGAAUUUCAUUGCAGGAUAUAAAAGCAAGCUUGGAAAACCCUGAGGGGCACCUCUUAUAAACAGAGGUGUUCAAUCUGUUGUGGUAUCAUACAUUCAAUAACACAGCCAUUAGGAGAAGGGAAAAUGUCAGUAAAUAAGUGGAAAUGAAAUCCAGUAUGAAGACUGAAGGGAAAAAAGAGCAAAAAUAAUCUCAUAUAAUGAAAGCAUGACAUGAUGAGAGAGAUGAAAAAAUGAGCAGAGAUUGAAAACAGGGAAUGGCACAGAAAGACAGUGCCAUGCAUGCCAGCGUGGCUGAGGAAACAUUUUUGUUUCUACAGUGCUGGUAGAGCUGCAGGUCUCGGAGAGGACAAGAAACAAUAGUGGCACCAUUUAGUGUAGCUGAGUGAGGGUGAUCUUGGUUUUGAACUUAUAGUUAUUUAUUGAUAAUUCUAAGGAAAUAGCUCACUCUGAUCAUCCUGAUAGCUAAAAUAUAUUUUCCUCCACUUGGCAUUUUUUCUUCUGUUUAAACCACUGCUGUGCACAGCCUGUGGCAAUGGUGUUGGCGCUCAUGUCCCAGAGCACACCUGCACAUGCUCCAGGCACCUGUCUAUCUCCAGCCUGCCUCCUGCCUGGCAGGAUCCUCUCUGCAGUUAUUCCUCUUGAACCUCUCUUCCUCCUCCAGCAAACACCACAGCAAUCUGCCUGAGGCUUGUACUCAUCUUCUAGAGGGGAAGCCUGGACAGGGCAGUGUCUGAGUCAAGAGAUGAGCUCUCAUGCCAGGUAUUUCUUUGCCUCCCUCUGCAUCAAAUGAUGACCUGUCAUCCUCUUGUGGGCUUGAAGAUGCUUAAUGAUUCAAAUUUCAUUAAGGGCUUCUCUUAAUAUUACAAAUUAAAGCUCUGCAUUGUAAAACAAUACAGAACACCUCACCCACCAAAGUAAAGUAGGAACUUUUGCUGCUCAUCACAGUUGCACUCAUUCAGACAUGGGCUAGAACCUUCACCAAGGCUCGCACUGCAAAGAGCCCAGAUAAACUGAACUGGAGGAUAAAAAGCUUAAGGACUUCAUGUUUACUCUGUUUUAUUUUGCAUAUUAGGCUUGAUGCAGGCAGUGUGUUCAGCUGUCUGCCACACUUCACCAGCAGCAGUCAUGUGCUGUGUGCUUUCGACAUGACUUUUUAUUCCUCUGAAAGAGGAAGAAAGGUUUAUACCAUUCUACAAAAGUUUAACACUUAAUAUUUUAAUUUUACAGGUUUCUGUUCACAGAUAGUUCUAGAAAUAUCUUGGGGCAAGUUCUUAAGUAGAUUCAUUAAGUAUUCAUUUAAAUAAAAAUGAAGAGUUUCCUUCGAGGGCAAUUCCUUUACCUUUUAUUUGGUAUUCAUGAACACUGAUAUGGGAAAAGUAUGUUUUCAAGAAUGACUGUGGAAGAGGAAUAUUUUAUACAAAGAUCUGAAGGUGUGCCUACCUAGGCAGCCGUGGGCAGGCCUGUUCUUGGCUGAGUGCCAGCUGAAGUCAAAUUACCCUCAUGCUUUUCUUAUGUGAGCAGUUUUCAGCAUGCACCUGUACGAAAUAUUCAACAAGGUAACAUAUAUAUCAUGGAUACGUUAUAGUCAGUAACUGCUGUAUAAACAGAUGAAUAAAACUUCUCAUUACAGGUGCUGAAUGGUAAAUCUGCUUUGGCAAGGAAAAAUCCGGUAGUCUCAUUUUUGGCUUGACUUGUAGGUAAUGCAAAUAGUUUCCAAAAAAAAUUUUUUUAAAUAAAAUAUUAGUCCAUUAGUGACAGGAAAUUCCAUGUUUGCAUUUGAGUAGAAGGAAAUUAAUAUCCAAUAUCUUAAUAAGAUAUUAAAGCAUCACCUUUUGCUUCAGUCAACUAAGAAUAUGAUUGUAUUUUUAAAUUAUCCUAUUUAGUUUUUGAUGGUUUGUAUUAUGGGAAUGAAAAAUAUUUUCCCGAGGUCACAUGAAGGUGACAUUCUCCUUGCUAGUGUCUGGUGUGUUGGCUGGUGGGUACCGAAGACUUUUAAGAAGGAAGAAAAUAAAAAUAUUUAAAUCAUGUUAUACAUGCAAUGAAGUGAGGAGAAAGCAGACAUACAGGCUUCUGCCAUCUUCUCUGAUUCCUACAACUGCCACUGAAAACAACAUCUCAGGAACCACAUCUUCAUGCAGGAAUGUACCAUCCUGUGUGAUGGCUGUCAGGGCAGUCCUUUCAGUCAUUUACCUUCUGCUCCUUCCACCUACACCUCUGUAGUAGUGCACAGCUCAUUGUGCCUUAGGAGAGUUUUAACAUGUACUCAGCCUGGCAGCCUCUGGAAGCAGCUGUUUGGGUUUAUUGUGGUGUAAAGGUCUACUAUGGGGCUGAGUUUUAUUAUUUUAAGGACAGCCAGUAAUCACCAUCUUGUUACUGUCUGAUAAUCUAGGAGAUACAUUGCUUGUUGAAUUCCCAGACCUAUCCCUCCCCUGUCCCACAGGUAAAAUUUUGAUUCAAUAGGCAUCCAAAUACAAAAGAAAGCUUCAGUUACAUGAUGACGAAACUUUAGUAUGAAGCUUUUUUUAAGUCCAUGUUUCCUGUAUUUCCAUAUAUUAUACUAAUCUGUAUCCUGGAGCUCACUCCAAAUGCCCCAAGGUCUCAUCUGUGUCAGAAGGUCUCAUUGCUUCUGAGUCAGAGUUAACAUUUCAGUGUGAAUUAUGGCAUACACAGAGCCCAGAGUGGGCAACAGGGAUAAAAAUUAACUGAAUUAAAACUCCAGGGAGGUAACACUGAAGAAAUUACUAAUUAGUUGGAGGCUUGGCUGGAGUACUUUGUUUCUGCAUAGCCAAGAUUUUGUUCCUUGGAAAUUUUCUGGAAUAUGUCUCAUUCAAAGAAAGAACCUCAUUGAAAAUGUUUUAGCAGCAAUUUCCAGCAGCAAUCUUCCAAGAAAAACACUGACCAGGCCUUUGAGUGUCUGGCUUCCUUCCCAAGAGUAGUGUUUGGCAACUCUGCAGCGCUGUACAUAUAUGUAAGCACCUCUUGUUUACAGAGAGGUUUUGUCUUCUUUCGAACAGAAUGCACAGGUUUACAAAGAUUUACAAAUUUAUGGAAUAGUACUUUACACAGUCAACAACAACAAAAGGUGCUGUUCACUUUUAUUUCCAGCAGAUAUGCCAGAUAUGCUGCAGACACCCUGCAGAACCUGUACUGAUUCCAUGCCUGGCUGUGUGUUUUGGAGGCUCCUCCCAAAGGGUCUUAUAGACUCAGCAAAGGUUUUCUUCCCCACCACUGAUCCAAGAGAAACAAAACCUGUUCAGCAUGGAAAUCCCACAUGCAUCCAUAUGCCUUUAUCUACAUAUGAACCAUCUGGUAUCCAAUAAGACUUUCCUUGCCUUAAGCAUUAGGUUUGCUUACUUGCAUUUCACCUGGGGACUCAGAUGCUGAAGGCAAUUUGUAGGGCUGAAAGCCCUUUUUCAAGUGAAACAACUUUACCUAAUGUAGUCAUUACCUGGCGAGGUGCCUGUUCCUCCUGAAACACGCCUGUGCAGUGCCCUGGGCACGGCACACAGCACACCACCCUUCGUGUGUGGUCUCACACUGACAGAGCAUCAUGACAGUGAGGGAGUCGCUCUGGGCUGCAGCUGGCCCGUACAGCAGGGUUUUGUACAAAAACCUAGAUCCCAAGUCAAGCUCUACAGAGUGAAAGGAAAAGGACAUCCUGCCUUGUUCAUAGGAGGUGCUUAGCUAUGCUCACCAGGAUCCUUUCUUCUGCAACCAGUCCAAAUUCAGCUGAAGGUGAUCCUUGCACCACUCUGACUCUCUUGUGGCAGUUGCAGAGCUUCCUUCCACCUGAGUGAAGUAAACAGCUUUGGGCUUCCCUAGUCUCCUAGAAUAGGGGACAAAGUCCUUCUUACGCAGAAGAAAUAGCAGCAGGAGCAUCCGUUUCCUGAUGACAAUGACAACAUCACCUGCCUGGAGCACUGAUGGGAACCCUUUUUCUUCCCAUCAUCCUUCAUAGUCUGGGAAAUGCAAGUUAGUUACCCGGACUCCAGCUUGUCCACAGGCUCAGUCAGUGUUCAGGAAGACUUGUUUUGUGAUGCUGAGACUUUGCUAUGCUCAUAUGGCUCUUAGAGCCAGGUUUUCAGGAACAUAUUAAAGGUCCUGAUAUCUUAAUCAUUAAGGCCUCACCAUAACAAGUCUCAGGCACUGUUAGUCCGGCAUCAAGGCAUUAAGGGACCAGCAUUAGCAAGACACACCAUAUGGAAGCCACGGGUAGCCAGAGAUAGUGCAGAUGGGGCUGGCUGCUUUCCACAAUACUUACCUUCUUGAGGAGCAACGGUAUAAUGGUGGAUUGACAUUGGUGGUGGGUAAAUGUAAUAAAAUGUUUGUGUAGCAGGGCAUGAUUUCUCGCCUUUACUUCCUGCAAACUUAAUGGGAAAGGCUUUAUAAAUAAUUCUGGCUUUGUCAAUUUAAAAUAUGGAUUAAAAUUUACUAUAUAUGUUUUCAAA